This 402-nucleotide ribosomal RNA is filed under the name uncultured bacterium. RNAcentral's name for it is "partial 16S ribosomal RNA". It matches the Rfam family "Bacterial small subunit ribosomal RNA", at positions 355 to 774 of the family's 1533-position model. The record is from RNAcentral.
UGGGGAAUCUUAGACAAUGGGGGCAACCCUGAUCUAGCCAUGCCGCGUGAGUGAUGAAGGCCUUAGGGUUGUAAAGCUCUUUCAGCUGGGAAGAUAAUGACGGUACCAGCAGAAGAAGCCCCGGCUAACUCCGUGCCAGCAGCCGCGGUAAUACGGAGGGGGCUAGCGUUGUUCGGAAUUACUGGGCGUAAAGCGCACGUAGGCGGACUGGAAAGUUGGGGGUGAAAUCCCGGGGCUCAACCACGGAACUGCCUUCAAAACUAUCAGUCUGGAGUUCGAGAGAGGUGAGUGGAAUUCCGAGUGUAGAGGUGAAAUUCGUAGAUAUUCGGAGGAACACCAGUGGCGAAGGCGGCUCACUGGCUCGAUACUGACGCUGAGGUGCGAAAGCGUGGGGAGCAAACA